UGCAGUCGAGCGGUUGACGGGAGCUUGCUCCCUGAUUCAGCGGCGGACGGGUGAGUAAUGCCUAGGAAUCUGCCUAUUAGUGGGGGACAACGUUUCGAAAGGAACGCUAAUACCGCAUACGUCCUACGGGAGAAAGCAGGGGACCUUCGGGCCUUGCGCUAAUAGAUGAGCCUAGGUCGGAUUAGCUAGUUGGUGAGGUAAUGGCUCACCAAGGCGACGAUCCGUAACUGGUCUGAGAGGAUGAUCAGUCACACUGGAACUGAGACACGGUCCAGACUCCUACGGGAGGCAGCAGUGGGGAAUAUUGGACAAUGGGCGAAAGCCUGAUCCAGCCAUGCCGCGUGUGUGAAGAAGGUCUUCGGAUUGUAAAGCACUUUAAGUUGGGAGGAAGGGUUGUAGAUUAAUACUCUGCAAUUUUGACGUUACCGACAGAAUAAGCACCGGCUAACUCUGUGCCAGCAGCCGCGGUAAUACAGAGGGUGCAAGCGUUAAUCGGAAUUACUGGGCGUAAAGCGCGCGUAGGUGGUUUGUUAAGUUGGAUGUGAAAGCCCCGGGCUCAACCUGGGAACUGCAUCCAAAACUGGCAAGCUAGAGUACGGUAGAGGGUGGUGGAAUUUCCUGUGUAGCGGUGAAAUGCGUAGAUAUAGGAAGGAACACCAGUGGCGAAGGCGACCACCUGGACUGAUACUGACACUGAGGUGCGAAAGCGUGGGGAGCAAACAGGAUUAGAUACCCUGGUAGUCCACGCCGUAAACGAUGUCAACUAGCCGUUGGAAUCCUUGAGAUUUUAGUGGCGCAGCUAACGCAUUAAGUUGACCGCCUGGGGAGUACGGCCGCAAGGUUAAAACUCAAAUGAAUUGACGGGGGCCCGCACAAGCGGUGGAGCAUGUGGUUAAUUCGAAGCAACGCGAAGACCUUACCUGGCCUUGACUGCUGAAGACUUUCCAAAGAUGAUUGGUGCCUUCGG
This 967-nucleotide ribosomal RNA is filed under the name Pseudomonas sp. RNAcentral describes it as "bacterial SSU rRNA". It matches the Rfam family "Bacterial small subunit ribosomal RNA", at positions 56 to 1023 of the family's 1533-position model. The record is from RNAcentral. Lineage: Bacteria; Pseudomonadati; Pseudomonadota; Gammaproteobacteria; Pseudomonadales; Pseudomonadaceae.